RNAcentral lists this ribosomal RNA (472 nucleotides) under uncultured Desulfobacterium sp. RNAcentral describes it as "bacterial SSU rRNA". It matches the Rfam family "Bacterial small subunit ribosomal RNA", at positions 916 to 1381 of the family's 1533-position model. Lineage: Bacteria; Pseudomonadati; Thermodesulfobacteriota; Desulfobacteria; Desulfobacterales; Desulfobacteriaceae. The record is from RNAcentral.
GGACGGGGCCCGCACAAGCAGUGGAGUAUGUGGUUUAAUUCGAAGCAACGCGAAGAACCUUACCUGGGUUUGACAUCUUGGGAAUCUUUUAGAAAUAAGAGAGUGCCCGCAAGGGGAGCCCGAAGACAGGUGCUGCAUGGCUGUCGUCAGCUCGUGUCGUGAGAUGUUGGGUUAAGUCCCGCAACGAGCGCAACCCUUAUCUUCAGUUACCAUCAUUCAGUUGGGGACUCUGGAGAUACUGCCCCGGUUAACGGGGAGGAAGGUGGGGAUGACGUCAAGUCCUCAUGGCCUUUAUAUCCAGGGCUACACACGUGCUACAAUGGUCCGUACAAAGGGUUGCAAGCCUGCGAGGGUGAGCUAAUCCCGAAAAGCGGAUCUCAGUUCGGAUUGGAGUCUGCAACUCGACUCCAUGAAGUUGGAAUCGCUAGUAAUCGUGGAUCAGCAUGCCACGGUGAAUACGUUCCCGGGCCUU